This 120-nucleotide ribosomal RNA is filed under the name Pteropus alecto (black flying fox). RNAcentral also lists the same sequence under 1 other name. Lineage: Eukaryota; Metazoa; Chordata; Mammalia; Chiroptera; Pteropodidae. The record is from RNAcentral.
GUCUACGGCCAUGCCACCCUGAACAAGCCCGAUUCCAUCUUGAUCUCGGAAACUAAGCAGGGUCGGGCCUGGUUAGUACUUGGAUGGGAGACCACCUAAGAAGACCAGGUGCUGAAGGCG